RNAcentral lists this ribosomal RNA (253 nucleotides) under uncultured bacterium. RNAcentral describes it as "partial 16S ribosomal RNA". It matches the Rfam family "Bacterial small subunit ribosomal RNA", at positions 524 to 776 of the family's 1533-position model. The record is from RNAcentral.
UACGGAGGGUGCAAGCGUUAAUCGGAAUUACUGGGCGUAAAGCGCACGCAGGCGGUUUGUUAAGUCAGAUGUGAAAGCCCCGGGCUCAACCUGGGAAGUGCAUCUGAAACUGGCAGGCUUGAGUCUUGUAGAGGGGGGUGGAAUUCCAGGUGUAGAGGUGAAAUGCGUAGAGAUCUGGAGGAAUACCGGUGGCGAAGGCGGCCCCCUGGACAAAGACUGACGCUCAGGUGCGAAAGCGUGGGGAGCAAACAGG